This 73-nucleotide transfer RNA is filed under the name Leptolyngbya sp. 'hensonii'. It matches the Rfam family "tRNA". Rfam says of the family: Transfer RNA (tRNA) molecules are approximately 80 nucleotides in length. The record is from Rfam by way of RNAcentral. Lineage: Bacteria; Bacillati; Cyanobacteriota; Cyanophyceae; Leptolyngbyales; Leptolyngbyaceae.
AGCCCCGUAACUCAAUGGGUGGAGUGCCUCUCUUACAAAGAGGAAGUUGCGGGUUCAACUCCUGCCGGGGCUA